UUCAGGGUUGUGCCUCAGUGGUAGAGCACUUGCCUAGCAUGUGUGAGGCACUGGGUUUGAUUCUCAGCACUGAAU
RNAcentral lists this transfer RNA (75 nucleotides) under Marmota monax (woodchuck). RNAcentral describes it as "tRNA.Ala". Lineage: Eukaryota; Metazoa; Chordata; Mammalia; Rodentia; Sciuridae. The record is from RNAcentral.